Molecule: long non-coding RNA, 267 nt
Organism: Selaginella moellendorffii
Lineage: Eukaryota; Viridiplantae; Streptophyta; Lycopodiopsida; Selaginellales; Selaginellaceae
Exons: 2
Source: RefSeq, a predicted model, not a curated record
CGACAACUUCCUCUCUCAUAUUGGGCUUGUGAGCGUCAGGACUCGGCUGGUGAGCAUUUGUCCAUUCGGAGGAUCGAUGCCAGCGCGCUUCAUCGUCUCCAGCUGGAACAGCGACGAAGAGUCAAAGGGAGUUAUAAGCUACUGCAAAUCACAGUCUGCUUCACAAACGGUAGAACUGCUAAUGGUGGACCUACUAAGGUCUUUGUUGAGUUUCCCCACCUGCUGGUGAGUCAUGGUACUAGUCAUGGAUGAAUUAUCUCUCUUGCC